CCGCCGUCAACGCCUCUAGGAGCACCACCACCACGAUUGCCGCCGCUAGUCCUCUGAUAACCUCCAUGGAAGAAUAUUCUAGAAGUUUUCACCAAACCUCAGGGAGUCGCUGCGUGCGGUAGAGUGCGAAUUUCGGUUUUCUCGUAACUUCAGUCGUUCAUCCGGUUGAAGAACUAAUGUCGUUUUAGAUUAAACGACUUCGUUUCU
This 207-nucleotide long non-coding RNA is filed under the name Vigna radiata. Its description in RNAcentral is "long non-coding RNA (VRAD_LNC005530)". Lineage: Eukaryota; Viridiplantae; Streptophyta; Magnoliopsida; Fabales; Fabaceae. The record is from RNAcentral.